Molecule: long non-coding RNA, 1233 nt
Organism: Cynoglossus semilaevis (tongue sole)
Lineage: Eukaryota; Metazoa; Chordata; Actinopteri; Pleuronectiformes; Cynoglossidae
Exons: 4
Source: RefSeq, a predicted model, not a curated record
UCUCAUUUACUCACUGAUUCCAGGCUCUGGUUUAUUCAAGCUGAGAUCAAUCUACUUCUGAGCUUAAACAAUCAUCACAUCACAUAAAUCGGUGCCUCUAGCUACACACUCGACAUGUUCGUAUUUUCAUCAUCAGUCUAAUUGAUUCUACUCCCCCCCUCCUUUUUUUAAAACUGCAUUAAUAAAUGAGAUUACUGGGUGUGUUGAAGACGGGCUGCAGCCAAAGAGCAAAAAAACAGUCUCGAUAAAAUCAUCUUCCUGAAGACGCGUGCGUUUACAGCUCACUGAGAGGCCACGGAAUCAGGCGUGAUGCAAAGGCAGUAAAUUGAAUCAAUUCGCUCGCCUCUAAAUAGACGUGAUGCACGACGCCUGGAUGAUCAGAGGGAUGAGGAGGAAUUUUUCCUGUUUAAUGAUGUUGUUUUGUUUGUGCAUUUCUUCUCCUCUGCCUGAUAAAGGUUCCAGAAGAUCUGGCGUAAAGAGGAAGAGAGACAUCAGAUAACGCGGCGGCGAGGAGCGAAGUGUCACAUGACCUCCUGGGUGCAAACACCGGGGAUGAAGUGACAGGCAGUGGUUGACUAGAGAAACCGCACGUUCUCGAUGAAGAAUUCUUCGGGAGAGAGUUCACCUUUCAUGAUGGGGAAACUAUGGGACCCGUUGGCGCAGAUGGACCAGAAGAAGCUCUGCCCUGAUGAAACGUUCGUGAAUCAACUGAAGUUCGCUGUAGAAGUCGACCGACACUGACAGUCUGAGCCGCCGUGGCUGUGGGACCUCAACGAAUCUAGUCGAGAAGAUGUCGGCUGCGAAUCUGCUGGAGGAACGGUGCUAAAGCCCCGCCACAGAGAACAGCCGGUGAGUCAGAAACAGGGCUGGGAGGCAUCACUGUGGCUCAGUUCUGAGCCAGAGAGCUGCUUAACAAUGGCACAGCAUCAGUGUGAGGAACCAAGUGUCGGUUCUACCAGGUGUUCUGUGCCAGUGGAGUCCUGCUCGGCUGGAACUUUAAAAAAAAAAACGAAGCUCAACGACAUCUUGACGUGAGCUGAGGUGGACACAGGCGUUAGACCAACAACCUCGUAUUAGGAUGAUAUAUUUGCAAGAGAACAUGUUUUCGGUAGUACCUGGUCUAGUUGUUCCCAAAGAGGGGGGUGGGCCCCGUUGUGGGGGCGUGGAGUGAGUAGAGUAGGAGACCAAGUAAUUCCAAUUUGAUUCUUUUCUUUAUUUGUGCCACAGUUUGGA